UUUAAUGAAGAGUUUGAUCCUGGCUCAGGACGAACGCUGGCGGCGCGCCUAACACAUGCAAGUCGAACGGAGCUGUUUUCUCUGAAGUUUUCGGAUGGAAGAGAGUUCAGCUUAGUGGCGAACGGGUGAGUAACACGUGAGCAACCUGCCUUUCAGUGGGGGACAACAUUUGGAAACGAAUGCUAAUACCGCAUAAGACCACAGUGUCGCAUGGCACAGGGGUCAAAGGAUUUAUCCGCUGAAAGAUGGGCUCGCGUCCGAUUAGCUAGAUGG
Molecule: ribosomal RNA, 273 nt
Filed under: Phocaeicola vulgatus
Lineage: Bacteria; Pseudomonadati; Bacteroidota; Bacteroidia; Bacteroidales; Bacteroidaceae
Description: Bacteroides vulgatus partial 16S ribosomal RNA
Rfam family: Bacterial small subunit ribosomal RNA
Source: RNAcentral